Small nuclear RNA from Prosopis cineraria, 161 nucleotides. RefSeq annotates it as U1 spliceosomal RNA. The transcript has a single exon. Lineage: Eukaryota; Viridiplantae; Streptophyta; Magnoliopsida; Fabales; Fabaceae. The record is from RefSeq and is a predicted model, not a curated record.
AUACUUACCUGGACGGGGUCAAUGGGUGAUCAAGAAGGCUCAUGGCCUAGGGUAGUGACUUCCAUUGCACGUGGGAAGGGUGCUACCUUAAGGUCUCCUCAAGUAGGAGAGCCUACGUCAUAAUUUGUGGUCGUGGGGGCCUGCGUUCGCGCGGCCCUCUC